AUGAGAAGGCCGUAGAGGCCUUAAAAAGAUAAAUUAAGAAUGAGCAGGACAAGGUGGCCAAGGCAGUGAAACUGUACAAGACUUUCGAAGAGUUUGAGGAUGAAGUGUCUGAGAGCUCCGAGGGCGCAUAUGACUACGCCUUUAGCAAGUACCGAAAUUUGAUCAAGAAGCUAUAUCCUGAGGUAGACAUCUCUAGGGUCACUUUAAAGGUGGCUGUUGUGUGGG
This 225-nucleotide long non-coding RNA is filed under the name Elaeis guineensis (African oil palm). RNAcentral describes it as "long non-coding RNA (EGUI_LNC073444)". Lineage: Eukaryota; Viridiplantae; Streptophyta; Magnoliopsida; Arecales; Arecaceae. The record is from RNAcentral.